Molecule: ribosomal RNA, 492 nt
Filed under: uncultured bacterium
Lineage: Bacteria
Description: partial 16S ribosomal RNA
Rfam family: Bacterial small subunit ribosomal RNA
Source: RNAcentral
AGUGAACGCUGGCGGUAGGCCUAACACAUGCAAGUCGAACGGCAGCACAGUAAGAGCUUGCUCUUACGGGUGGCGAGUGGCGGACGGGUGAGGAAUACAUCGGAAUCUACUUUUUCGUGGGGGAUAACGUAGGGAAACUUACGCUAAUACCACAUACGACCUACGGGUGAAAGCAGGGGGUCUUCGGACCUUGCGCGAUUGAAUGAGCCGAUGUCGGAUUAGCUAGUUGGCGGGGUAAAGGCCCACCAAGGCGACGAUCCGUAGCUGGUCUGAGAGGAUGAUCAGCCACACUGGAACUGAGACACGUUCCAGACUCCUACGGGAGGCAGCAGUGGGGAAUAUUGGACAAUGGGGGCAAGCCUGAUCCAGCCAUACCGCGUGGGUGAAGAAGGCCUUCGGGUUGUAAAGCCCUUUUGUUGGGAAAGAAAAGCAGCAGGUUAAUACCCCGCUGUUCUGACGGUACCCAAAGAAUAAGCACCGGCUAACUUCGUG